CGCGUGAAGGAAGAAGUAAUUCGUUAUGUAAACUUCUGUCAUAGAGGAAGAACGGUGCGUGUAGGGAAUGACAUGCAAGUGACGGUACUCUAUAAGAAAGCCACGGCUAACUACGUGCCAGCAGCCGCGGUAAUACGUAGGUGGCGAGCGUUAUCCGGAAUUAUUGGGCGUAAAGAGGGAGCAGGCGGCACUAAGGGUCUGUGGUGAAAGAUCGAAGCUUAACUUCGGUAAGCCAUGGAAACCGUAGAGCUAGAGUGUGUGAGAGGAUCGUGGAAUUCCAUGUGUAGCGGUGAAAUGCGUAGAUAUAUGGAGGAACACCAGUGGCGAAGGCGACGAUCUGGCGCAUAACUGACGCUCAGUCCCGAAAGCGUGGGGAGCAAAUAGGAUUAGAUACCCUAGUAGUCCACGCCGUAAACGAUGAGUACUAAGUGUUGGGAGUCAAAUCUCAGUGCUGCAGUUAACGCAAUAAGUACUCCGCCUGAGUAGUACGUUCGCAAGAAUGAAACUC
RNAcentral lists this ribosomal RNA (508 nucleotides) under uncultured bacterium. Its description in RNAcentral is "bacterial SSU rRNA". It matches the Rfam family "Bacterial small subunit ribosomal RNA", at positions 398 to 902 of the family's 1533-position model. The record is from RNAcentral.